Molecule: long non-coding RNA, 1936 nt
Organism: Oryzias melastigma (Indian medaka)
Lineage: Eukaryota; Metazoa; Chordata; Actinopteri; Beloniformes; Adrianichthyidae
Exons: 2
Source: RefSeq, a predicted model, not a curated record
UUGAUGUUGGAGUUCUUAGUGCAUUAACACGAAAAGCUGAAAAUGCCGUGAACUUUACUCAAGACUCUUUUAGCGUGAUCUAAAAUAAGGGAUGUAGAGAAAUCCAGGGGUCUUUGGAGCUGUUUUUUAUGUGCACACAUACGCACACACACACAUUCAAAAGACAGAGGAGAGCUGGACCUGAGCCGAGGAGUCACAGGUUAAAACAGUGGUGAAGGGUCUGCUAACAUGCCUGGUUCCAGGGGAUGAAUGGUGGGUGUAGGGUCACCUCUGAACGGGUCAUACUUCAAAUGGGAUCACAGCCCCACUCCAUCUGACACCGACAUCCAGCCUCCGCCUUUUGCCAUGAGAGGUGACGGUUAAAUGUUUUAGCAUCCAGGUCAGCGCACGGUCAUCUGCUGACCCGCCAGUGAAGGCUUAAGUUAUCUGAAGCGCUCUUCUUGAUAAAUGACCACUCAGUGCAAGGAGCUGUAACCUUGCUCUGCUUAUCAGCUGAGGUCCCACACCAGUGCAGUCAGGGAUGUUUUUUUCUGUCACUUAGAAAUAUAACAGAUACAUUUUUGUUAUCAUAACAGCAACAAACUUUUUCUCUUUAUUUUAAAAGGUUUAUCCCUUCCAAAUCAUGCUGAACAAACUCUUUGAUGGUGUUAGUUUUUCUGCAUUGGCUUAUCAGAAAGGGCUUUUUAGUACUUCAAUUGCAGUCAUUCACUUCUCCACUCUAUUCCCAAAGACCCUUGAGGUAACAGUUUGUAGUUAUUAGAUGCUAAACAAUUACAGUUUUACAUCAAAGAACCUUUUUUUUUUUUUUAUCCUCCUACCACCAACGCAAAUGUGUACUCUGUAGAGGAGAUUUCUAAACUUCAAUAUCUCCCAACUACUCUAUACUACUGAUUUCACACAUUGUUUUACCUACAGAGGACUUCUGAGGCUUUUCCAUGAUGCCACAUGUGAAGGGGUGGGGCUCUGGGAGUUGAAGUUUUUGGUAAAUUUAAUAAAAAAGUGACAGUACACUUUUUUUCUCUAGUAGUCAGGAUGAUAUAUCAUAUGGAAAGUGAGGAUUUAAUUCCCAAAAGCAGCAGUUCAAAACUCCUCUGCACAUCCUGAUUGGACCCAACUGCCAGCACUCAUCUCAUCAGCAACAGUCAGCUAUGUAGGAGGGGCCUGCUCCAGCAUUCAUCACCUGUUCGUUACCUUACCUGGAUUUACAUACCACGUGCUGCUGGGUCCAACUUCUCUCACCACUGCCAAGAGCUCCAUCAUCUGCCUCACUACAAUACUACGCCAUCAUCACCCAACUCACCUCCUGAAUCUUCGCUCCGAUGUCCGGACACGUUCUUGUUCCCGUCUGCCUUUUCCUGCUGCCACUCCGCUCCUUCUUCAGUGCCCAAACUCUCAACGGAUAUCCAUCAUUGUGGGAAUGUGUGCGUUCAUGGAUGAAUCGGACUGUGAGGCACUUUGUGUCAGAUUCCGGCCCCACCUCCCCCUGCCACUAUUAACUGAUUCUGAACAUUUGGGUGCUCUCCUGUUUAAGACUGCCAAACUCUGUAGCAGAUUGUGGUCAUUUUCACCUUGUUAUCCAGGGUACCUGUCUCACCUGAGUUCUGCCUCGUCUCGACCCCACUCUCGUCUUGGACCUCCAUACCUCCAUUCCUGCUUUAGACCUGUUUUGACCUCUGUGCUUCCAACCUGUAAUCAUUUGCUUUUUUUUACCUGCUCCUCUUGAUUCCUCCGCUUCUCUGAAACUGUUCCUAUUUACGUUCUUGUGGAUUACAGAACUUCUCCUUUGGAUUAUUGCAUCUAGCGUUGAGUUUCCCUCCGCUACCUUAUCCUGUAUUUACUCAGCGAUUGACUCUGACUCUUUUUUUCAGAGAACACUCAGACGCCCCCUAGUGUUUGGAGGACUUCACUGCCUGCCAUAAUAAACUGCUUAAAACUC